This 200-nucleotide unclassified non-coding RNA is filed under the name Cryptococcus sp. (in: basidiomycete fungi). RNAcentral's name for it is "Cryptococcus sp. partial internal transcribed spacer 2". Lineage: Eukaryota; Fungi; Basidiomycota; Tremellomycetes; Tremellales; Cryptococcaceae. The record is from RNAcentral.
UUAAGUUCAGCGGGUAGUCCUACCUGAUUUGAGGUCAGAGUCUAAAAGUGCACAAUGGCAGGUUAGGAGCAGACUCAGACAGCAAGGGACAAGACGAAACUUAUUACGUCUGUCACGGAUGCAGAGAGAUCCACUAAGUCAUUUGAGGCGAGCCAUGUAACCGGCAGCACCCAAGUCCAAGUCCCAACCCAGAUCAUAAA